This 440-nucleotide ribosomal RNA is filed under the name Troglohyphantes iulianae. RNAcentral describes it as "partial large subunit ribosomal RNA". It matches the Rfam family "Bacterial large subunit ribosomal RNA", at positions 1831 to 2600 of the family's 2925-position model. Lineage: Eukaryota; Metazoa; Arthropoda; Arachnida; Araneae; Linyphiidae. The record is from RNAcentral.
CUCUUAUCCCCCUCAUUAUAAGUACAAUCUGCUCCAUGUAAUAUAAAUAGCCGCAGAAUAUUAACUGUGGUAAGGUAGCAUAAUCAUUUACCUUUUAAUUAAAGGUUUGUAGAACGAUUUAACAUUUGGAUACUUUUUUAUUAAGCUAAUUUGAAAUUAAAUUAAACAUAAAAAUGUGUUUAUUUCUAAAAAAGACGAUAAGACCCUAUUGAACUUAACUUAAGUUAAGCUGGGGAAGCUAAUUAAAUACAAUUUUAAUUUAAAUAAAAAUUAAGAAAUCUGAAAAAAUCAAUUAUGAAUAAGUUACCAUAGGGAUAACAGCGUAAUAUUUCUUUAAAGCUCUUAUUAAAAGAAAAGGUUGCGACCUCGAUGUUGAAUUAAAAUUACUUUAAAACGCAAUAGUAUUAAAAGUGGGUCUGUUCGACCCUUAAAUUUUUACA